AGCUCCAAUAGCGUAUAUUAAAGUUGUUGUGGUUAAAAAGCUCGUAGUUGGAUCUCCACAGGCUUGAGCCGGUAUGCUUGCUAGCAUUACUGGCUUAUAGCCUGUAGUUUUGCCAGAGGUGUUAGGGUGCUCUUAAUCGAGUGUCCUAUCGCACUGGCAGGUUUACUUUGAAAAAAUUAGAGUGCUCAAAGCAGGCUUUAUGCUUGAAUAUUCGUGCAUGGAAUAAUAGAAUAGGAAGUCGUUUCUAUUUUGUUGGUUUUUAAGUUUCGACUUAAUGAUUAAUAGGGACAAACGGGGGCAUUUGUAUUCAGACGACAGAGGUGAAAUUCUUGGACCGUCUGAAGACAAACUACUGCGAAAGCAUUUGCCAAGAGUGUUUUCAUUAAUCAAGAACGAAAGU
Molecule: ribosomal RNA, 400 nt
Filed under: phytoplankton environmental sample
Lineage: Eukaryota
Description: partial small subunit ribosomal RNA
Rfam family: Eukaryotic small subunit ribosomal RNA
Source: RNAcentral